RNAcentral lists this ribosomal RNA (1152 nucleotides) under Triticum aestivum (bread wheat). RNAcentral describes it as "partial small subunit ribosomal RNA". Lineage: Eukaryota; Viridiplantae; Streptophyta; Magnoliopsida; Poales; Poaceae. The record is from RNAcentral.
AUGUUACCUAAAAAACAUCUAUCUGGCUGUGAGAAAAGAAACAACAAGAAAAGAGUAGACAAGUUGAUUAAAUCUUAGGAAGGCGCUAUGGAUAUGUUUGUCUUGAGGCCUGGUGCUGCUACAAAUUCAGAGCAAUUAUAUAUCACAAAUGGUGAAGAAAAACCUGAUGAUACUAAGAAUGUCGUUGAGGAAAAUCAUGUCGAGAAAAAUAAUGCUGCGGAAAAUGAUGCCGAUCAGCACACUGAAAAAUUUAGUGACCAUGAGAAUCUUGGAAAUGCAGAUGAGCAGGGUUCUUCUUUUGAUAUAUAUGAUCCUAGAACUUGGAAUAUUCUUGACAAUAAAUCAAGAGAUAUUCUCAUUGAAAAAGGACCUAUAAGGGAAUACAAUCUUGUGUUUCCCGAAGAUGAAAUUAGUGGCAGGCAUUUUUCAUAUGAUUACUACACAAGAAAGUUAAGGAAUGGCGAGUUCAGUGAUCGGAGGUGGUUAGUGUACUCUAAACACGUGAAUAAAGUCUAUUGCUUUUGUUGCAAAUUGUUUAAAUCUGGAAAAAGCAAAAGUCUGCUAGCAUCCGAGGGAUUGAAGGAUUGGAGACAUCUUAGUGAGAAGCUCAAAUUGCAUGAGAAUAGUGUUGAGCAUAUCACUAACAUGAAUACUUGGAAUGAGGUAAGGCUGAGGCUAUGUAAGAAGGAAACAAUUGAUAAAGACAUGCAACAAGAGAUUGCAAGGGAGAAGGAGCGAUGGAGACUUGUUUUGAUUAGAAUUGUUGAUGCUGUGAAAUUUCUUGCUAAACAUAGUCUGGCUUUUCAAGGAUCGAAUGAGAAAUUAUAUGAAGAUAACAACGGAAAUUUUUUGGGAGUAAUUGAAAUGAUGGCAGAAUUUGAUCCUGUAAUGCAAGAGCAUCUUCGGCGCAUUAAGAAUAGUGAAAUCCAUCAUCAUUAUCUUGGCCAUAAUAUUCAGAAUGAGUUAAUUUCCCUUCUUGGUCGCACUGUUAAAUAUUCUCUGUUGAGGAUAAUUAAGGAUGCAAGGUAUUUCUCUGUCAUCUUGGACUGUACACCUAACGUGAGCCAUCAAGAACAAAUGACUCUAAUUGUGAGGUGUGUAAACAUGUCAAGUACUACUACAAAAAUAGAGGAGUUUUUCUGGAGUUCUUGA